AUCGAUUCUCGGACCCUUUGGCUACGAUCAAAGUAGGAAUCUGUUCUUAUCAGUUUAAUAUCUGAACGUCCCGACCCGGACUACAAUAUAAAUUGAUGUUGAUCACGGAGCUUGGACCGGGCUUGCUCGUCCACUCCACGCAUCGCCUGGAUUGCAGGUCUCCAGGACGUGGUGCUUCCCUU
This is a small nuclear RNA of Cyprinus carpio (common carp), 182 nucleotides long. RefSeq annotates it as U2 spliceosomal RNA. The record is from RefSeq and is a predicted model, not a curated record. NCBI's taxonomy places the organism in Eukaryota, Metazoa, Chordata, Actinopteri, Cypriniformes, Cyprinidae. The transcript has a single exon.